Molecule: ribosomal RNA, 307 nt
Filed under: uncultured bacterium
Lineage: Bacteria
Description: bacterial SSU rRNA
Rfam family: Bacterial small subunit ribosomal RNA
Source: RNAcentral
GACAAACGCUGGCGGCGUGCCUAACACAUGCAAGUCGAACGGGGUAAAGAGCUUCGGUUUUUACUUAGUGGCGAACGGGUGAGUAACGCGUGAGGAACCUGCCUUUCAGUGGGGGACAACAGUUGGAAACGACUGCUAAUACCGCAUAAUGCAUUUAGGGGGCAUCCCCUGAAUGCCAAAGCUUUAUGUGCUGAAAGAUGGUCUCGCGUCUGAUUAGAUAGUUGGUGGGGUAACGGCCUACCAAGUCAACGAUCAGUAGCCGGUCUGAGAGGAUGAACGGCCACAUUGGGACUGAGAUGCGGCCCAG